GACGAACGCUGGCGGCGCGCCUAACACAUGCAAGUCGAACGGAGUCAAGAGGAGCUUGCUUUUCUUGACUUAGUGGCGAACGGGUGAGUAACGCGUGAGUAACCUGCCCUGGAGUGGGGGACAACAGUUGGAAACGACUGCUAAUACCGCAUAAGCCCACGGAUCUGCAUGGAUCUGCGGGAAAAGGAUUUAUUCGCUCUAGGAUGGACUCGCGUCCAAUUAGCUAGUUGGUGAGGUAACGGCCCACCAAGGCGACGAUUGGUAGCCGGACUGAGAGGUUGAACGGCCACAUUGGGACUGAGACACGGCCCAGACUCCUACGGGAGGCAGCAGUGGGGGAUAUUGCACAAUGGGGGAAACCCUGAUGCAGCGACGCCGCGUGGUGGAAGAAGGUUUUCGGAUUGUAAACUCCUGUCGUUAGGGACGAUAAUGACGGUACCUAACAAGAAAGCACCAGCUAACUACGUG
This 468-nucleotide ribosomal RNA is filed under the name uncultured bacterium. Its description in RNAcentral is "partial 16S ribosomal RNA". It matches the Rfam family "Bacterial small subunit ribosomal RNA", at positions 28 to 507 of the family's 1533-position model. The record is from RNAcentral.